RNAcentral lists this ribosomal RNA (429 nucleotides) under Pseudomonadota bacterium. RNAcentral's name for it is "Proteobacteria bacterium partial 16S ribosomal RNA". It matches the Rfam family "Bacterial small subunit ribosomal RNA", at positions 355 to 776 of the family's 1533-position model. Lineage: Bacteria; Pseudomonadati; Pseudomonadota. The record is from RNAcentral.
UGGGGAAUAUUGGACAAUGGGCGAAAGCCUGAUCCAGCCAUGCCGCGUGUGUGAAGAAGGUCUUCGGAUUGUAAAGCACUUUAAGUUGGGAGGAAGGGCAGUAAGCGAAUACCUUGCUGUUUUGACGUUACCGACAGAAUAAGCACCGGCUAACUCUGUGCCAGCAGCCGCGGUAAUACAGAGGGUGCAAGCGUUAAUCGGAAUUACUGGGCGUAAAGCGGGCGUAGGUGGUUCGUUAAGUUGAAUGUGAAAGCCCCGGGCUCAACCUGGGAACUGCAUCCAAAACUGGCGAGCUAGAGUAGGGCAGAGGGUGGUGGAAUUUCCUGUGUAGCGGUGAAAUGCGUAGAUAUAGGAAGGAACACCAGUGGCGAAGGCGACCACCUGGGCUCAUACUGACACUGAGGUGCGAAAGCGUGGGGAGCAAACAGG